This 950-nucleotide ribosomal RNA is filed under the name metagenome. RNAcentral's name for it is "bacterial SSU rRNA". It matches the Rfam family "Bacterial small subunit ribosomal RNA", at positions 467 to 1415 of the family's 1533-position model. The record is from RNAcentral.
CAAGGAUCAGAUCGGCUCGAGAUAGCACCGGCUAACUCUGUGCCAGCAGCCGCGGUAAUACAGAGGGUGCAAGCGUUAAUCGGAAUUACUGGGCGUAAAGGGAGCGUAGGUGGCUCGAUAAGUCAGAUGUGAAAUCCCCGGGCUCAACCUGGGAACUGCAUCUGAUACUGUUGAGCUAGAGUAUGUGAGAGGAAGGUAGAAUUCCAGGUGUAGCGGUGAAAUGCGUAGAGAUCUGGAGGAAUACCGAUGGCGAAGGCAGCCUUCUGGCAUAAUACUGACACUGAGGCUCGAAAGCGUGGGUAGCAAACAGGAUUAGAUACCCUGGUAGUCCACGCCGUAAACGAUGUCUACUAGUCGUUGGGUCCCUUGAGGACUUAGUGACGCAGCUAACGCAAUAAGUAGACCGCCUGGGGAGUACGGCCGCAAGGUUAAAACUCAAAUGAAUUGACGGGGGCCCGCACAAGCGGUGGAGCAUGUGGUUUAAUUCGAUGCAACGCGAAGAACCUUACCUGGUCUUGACAUAUCUAGAAUCCUGCAGAGAUGCGGGAGUGCCUUCGGGAAUUAGAAUACAGGUGCUGCAUGGCUGUCGUCAGCUCGUGUCGUGAGAUGUUGGGUUAAGUCCCGCAACGAGCGCAACCCUUGUCCUUAGUUACCAGCGGGUUAAGCCGGGAACUCUAAGGAUACUGCCAGUGACAAACUGGAGGAAGGCGGGGACGACGUCAAGUCAUCAUGGCCCUUACGACCAGGGCUACACACGUGCUACAAUGGUAGGUACAGAGGGCAGCUACACAGCGAUGUGAUGCGAAUCUCAAAAAGCCUAUCGUAGUCCAGAUUGGAGUCUGNCACUCGACUCCAUGAAGUAGGAAUCGCUAGUAAUCGCGAAUCAGAAUGCCGCGGUGAAUACGUUCCCGGGCCUUGUACACACCGCCCGUCACACCAUGGGAGUUGAU